UACGAAGGGUGCUAGCGUUGUUCGGAAUCACUGGGCGUAAAGCGCGCGUAGGCGGCGUAACAAGUCAGAGGUGAAAGCCUGGAGCUCAACUCCAGAAUUGCCUUUGAAACUGUUAUGCUAGAGUGUCGGAGGGGAUAGCGGAAUUGCUAAUGUAGAGGUGAAAUUCGUAGAUAUUAGCAGGAACACCGGUGGCGAAGGCGGCUAUCUGGACGACAACUGACGCUGAGGCGCGAAAGCGUGGGGAGCAAACAGG
This 253-nucleotide ribosomal RNA is filed under the name uncultured bacterium. Its description in RNAcentral is "partial 16S ribosomal RNA". It matches the Rfam family "Bacterial small subunit ribosomal RNA", at positions 524 to 776 of the family's 1533-position model. The record is from RNAcentral.